This 384-nucleotide ribosomal RNA is filed under the name uncultured prokaryote. Its description in RNAcentral is "bacterial SSU rRNA". It matches the Rfam family "Archaeal small subunit ribosomal RNA", at positions 341 to 725 of the family's 1478-position model. The record is from RNAcentral.
GCGAAAACUUUACAAUGCUGGCAACAGCGAUAAGGGAACCUCGAGUGCCAGGUUACAAAUCUGGCUGUCGAGAUGCCUAAAAAGCAUUUCAUAGCAAGGGCCGGGCAAGACCGGUGCCAGCCGCCGCGGUAACACCGGCGGCUCGAGUGGUAACCGUUAUUAUUGGGUCUAAAGGGUCUGUAGCCGGCCGGAUAAGUCUCUUGAGAAAUCGGGCAGCUUAACUGUCAGGCUUUCAGGAGAUACUGUCUGGCUCGAGGCCGGGAGAGGUGAGAGGUACUUCAGGGGUAGGGGUGAAAUCUUGUAAUCCUUGAAGGAGCACCAGUGGCGAAGGCGUCUCACCAGAACGGACGUGGCGGCAAGGGACGAAAGCUAGGGGCACGAACA